RNAcentral lists this ribosomal RNA (697 nucleotides) under uncultured Alphaproteobacteria bacterium. RNAcentral's name for it is "bacterial SSU rRNA". It matches the Rfam family "Bacterial small subunit ribosomal RNA", at positions 28 to 773 of the family's 1533-position model. Lineage: Bacteria; Pseudomonadati; Pseudomonadota; Alphaproteobacteria. The record is from RNAcentral.
AGCGAACGCUGGCGGCAGGCCUAAUACAUGCAAGUCGAGCGCACCUUCGGGUGAGCGGCGGACGGGUGAGUAACGCGUGGGAACGUGCCCUUUGGUACGGGAUAACUGAGGGAAACUUCAGCUAAUACCGUAUGUGCCCUACGGGGGAAAGAUUUAUCGCCAUUGGAGCGGCCCGCGUUGGAUUAGGUAGUUGGUGAGGUAAAGGCUCACCAAGCCUACGAUCCAUAGCUGGUCUGAGAGGAUGAUCAGCCACACUGGGACUGAGACACGGCCCAGACUCCUACGGGAGGCAGCAGUAGGGAAUCUUGCGCAAUGGGCGAAAGCCCGACGCAGCCAUGCCGCGUGAAUGAUGAAGGUCUUAGGAUUGUAAAAUUCUUUCACCGGGGAAGAUAAUGACGGUACCCGGAGAAGAAGCCCCGGCUAACUUCGUGCCAGCAGCCGCGGUAAUACGAAGGGGGCUAGCGUUGCUCGGAAUUACUGGGCGUAAAGGGCGCGUAGGCGGACAGUUUAGUCAGAGGUGAAAGCCCAGGGCUCAACCUUGGAAUUGCCUUUGAUACUGGCUGUCUUGAGUUCGGGAGAGGUGAGUGGAAUGCCGAGUGUAGAGGUGAAAUUCGUAGAUAUUCGGCGGAACACCAGUGGCGAAGGCGACUCACUGGCCCGAUACUGACGCUGAGGCGCGAAAGCGUGGGGAGCAAAC